This 304-nucleotide long non-coding RNA is filed under the name Ananas comosus (pineapple). Its description in RNAcentral is "long non-coding RNA (ACOM_LNC015676)". The record is from RNAcentral. Lineage: Eukaryota; Viridiplantae; Streptophyta; Magnoliopsida; Poales; Bromeliaceae.
AAAUAAAUAAUAAUAAAAGAAACAUAUAUGACAAUGUAACUUAGGUUUUGUUUGGAAUUAUGAAAAAAUUGCGUUACGUACGAUGAGAAAGUACAAUGAGUGUUUGAUUCCGUACGUAAUAUUGCGCUCUGUAUAUCACGAUGAGUCGAUUACGAUAUAUUUUUUAUAGUCCUAUCGGAAAAUGCGGAAGCAUAACUAUAUAUACCUUUAUUCAAACUCUAUUUUCUCUAAUAACAUCAGAUGGAGCUCAAUACCAAACUAAACCUUAGCCUCGUAAGCCAAUGCUAUUAUGAACCACCAAAAU